This 253-nucleotide ribosomal RNA is filed under the name uncultured bacterium. RNAcentral's name for it is "partial 16S ribosomal RNA". It matches the Rfam family "Bacterial small subunit ribosomal RNA", at positions 524 to 776 of the family's 1533-position model. The record is from RNAcentral.
UACGUAGGGCGCAAGCGUUAUCCGGAAUUAUUGGGCGUAAAGAGCUCGUAGGCGGUCUGUCGCGUCUGCUGUGAAAACUCGGGGCUUAACCCCGGGCCUGCAGUGGGUACGGGCAGACUAGAGUGCGGUAGGGGAGACUGGAAUUCCUGGUGUAGCGGUGAAAUGCGCAGAUAUCAGGAGGAACACCGGUGGCGAAGGCGGGUCUCUGGGCCGGCACUGACGCUGAGGAGCGAAAGCGUGGGGAGCGAACAGG